This 197-nucleotide ribosomal RNA is filed under the name uncultured bacterium. RNAcentral describes it as "partial 16S ribosomal RNA". It matches the Rfam family "Bacterial small subunit ribosomal RNA", at positions 335 to 527 of the family's 1533-position model. The record is from RNAcentral.
CGAUUACGGGAGGCAGCAGUGGGGAAUAUUGCACAAUGGGCGCAAGCCUGAUGCAGCGACGCCGCGUGAGGGAUGGAGGCCUUCGGGUUGUAAACCUCUUUCGCCAGUGAAGCAGGCCUGUCCCUUUUGUGGGUGGGUUGACGGUAGCUGGAUAAGAAGCGCCGGCUAACUACGUGCCAGCAGCCGCGGUAAUAUCG